GUCCAUAGCCUCUUUCCAUUUAGUAGACUCAGUGUAACAGCCCAAAAUCUCAAGUAUUGCUAAGUUGCAUUUUGGGGGUGUUUUAAAGGGGAGACUCGACGAGUUGGAGCCAGACUCGCCGAGUAGGGUCGCAGGUUUGGUCGCGGGUUCACGACUGGACUCGACGAGUCCAGAUAUGGACUCGGCGAGUCGACGCUGUUCAGCGGAAACCCUAGCCGUUCAGUAUUGGGUUGUAUAUAAGGGUUAUUAUGCCGUCAUUUCACGACUUUUGAUCGAUUGGGAAGAACCCUAGGCGACUGGGGCGGCUAGAGCAAGCUUGAAGGCCAUUGGUGACCUUGAAGGAAUUGUGGUGCAAGGAGGAGAAGGGUUUUAGCUAAAGGAACUGCAGGGAGUUCGAGUUCUGAAGUUUGGGGACAUGGAAGGUACAUCAUUCAGGUAAUAAUUCGGAUUACAUUCUCCUGUGAUUGAUGUGUAUAUAGAUUUAGNAGGUAAUAAUUCGGAUUAUAUUCUCCUGUGAUUGAUGUGUAUAUAGAUUUAGGGUUUAUGGAACCCAUUUGGAGUCUAGAUGGAUUGUUGUGUUGUUAUUCAACAUUUAUAACCUUGUAGUAGGACCCUUAGAGGUCCAGAAGGUCCCAUGUUUGUAUAUUCAAGAAUAUAUGUAUCUCAGGAAGCAGUUCGAUCGACUGCAUGGCGUAGACUCGCCGAGUCGGAUGAUCAGACUCGGCGAGUAGCUUGAAGAUUCACUGGGACUCGCCGAGUUUGUUCUUCAGGCUCGGCGAGUAGAGUCGGGGUGGCCCCGCGAUUCUUCCACGAGGACCUCGUCGAGUCAAGAGGGAUACUCGACGAGUAGAAAGGGAUCAUGCAGGAAUUGGUGAGGACGACUAGACUCGCCGAGUCGCCAGGGUACUCGCCGAGUCCAGUCGAGAUGGCCAUUGACCCGAGUUGACCUGUGUGUAACGUUUUAGGGUCAGUUAACGUGGAAGAUAGAAGUAUUAAAAAGAGAUAUAUGAUGAGACAGGGAGCUUGUAGCUCGGAGGAUCAAGUGCAAGAGAUUUCAGGAGUUGCUAUCUUCCAGUGUCCGCGAGGUGAGUCUUCUCACUAUACUGUACCCGGAAGGGUUUGACUGUGUGACCGGAAGGUCGGAUAUGAUAUGUGAUAUGUAUGCUAUAUGUGGUAAGUUAUUUGUUAUGUGUGCUAUGUAUGUUAUGGGCCGGAAGGCGAUUAUAUUAUGGGCCGGAAGGCAAUAUGUUAUGGGCCGGAAGGCGAUAUGAUGUGUGAUGGACCGGAAGGUCGGCGUGGGUAAGGCCGGAAGGUUUACCCAGCAGGGACGGAAGUCCCCUGAGACACAUGGACCGGAAGGUCGGGCCUGGAAAGGCGUAUUUGCGUAAGUUGUAUAUUGGGGAACUCACUAAGCUUCGUGCUUACAGUAUUUAUGUUAUGUUGUUUCAGGUUCUUUCAGUAACGCGGAAUGGCAUCGGCUCGAUUGUACACACCGAGGAAAGAGUUGUAUUUUGGAGGAUCCUGGUUGUCUAUUCAAAUGAAAAUGGAACUAUGUUUUGUAAUUCGAAUAUGAAUAAGAUUUUAAACAAGUGUUUUAAUAUUAAAUUGAUUAUUUAAAUGAAAAAUUUUGCUUUGAAAAUCACGGUGUUACAAUUGGUAUCAGAGCCUUGGUUUGAGGGAUUCGGACGCGCCUACGGGUGAGUCUGGACUCAAACUGAGGAAUUAAGAAAAGGUUUUCAAAUAAAUAGUUUUCUAAAAGUGAAUAAGAGUUCAAAGAGAAAGCAAGAAAGAGCAGUGUGUACAAUCAGCCAGAGCCAAACGGUGAUUUCCCAAAAUACCCUUACUUUUGUAUUAUGAAAUAUCUAUUAUGCACUUUAUGAGACAUUAUUGCAUGCUAGAGACAGGCUAGGUAUUUCACAUCUUAGGACUAGAGUGGCCUGAUUUGUGAUGCCUUAGUCUAGGGUUUGCUGUUAUAUGUGCGUUAUGCUUUUGUGUGUAUGUGAUGAGUGAGAGUAUCUAGUUAGAACGCACAAGGGGUAAAGCUACGGGGUACAGAGGUACUUCCGAGGAUGAGCCGAGAAGGUGGAGCUACCACAGAUGGGGAGUCCUAUGUAUGCUUCAAUGCUCGAAUGCUGCUUGCUUUGUGCUUUGUGGAGUUAUCGAUGAUGGGAGUCAGCUACUAAGUGAGUAUGACGAUACUCAGGAGGUAGAGGGCUGGCAUCAUUAGGAACUCUUCAGCAGCUGAUAGCAAAGAAGUGGGAGGACAGCGGAAGGGACUAGGGAGUAAACCUAGCCAGAUGAGUGCGCUGGUAGAGUAGAGGAUUUCGCUGGAAAGCGAGCACGCGCGAUGAGAUGGGUGAAAGAGCAGGUUUAUCAGCUACUUAGGAACUCUGGGAUGGUCCGUGUGGAAAGUAUGGGUAGAUGUGGCAGGUAGUAUGGGCCCGUACUACUGAAAGCAGAGGACCCAUACUUGAUACAGGGGGCAUUCUGAAGGUCCUAAGGAACAGAUUGAGGGGUGAUGUUAUGGUUCGGAUACCAUACAUCGGAGCGGAUACAGAGUGAUGUUAUGGUCCGGGCACCAUACAUCGGAACAGAUUGAGAUAGAUGUUGUGGUCCGAGUGCUAUACAUUGGAGCAGAUUGAGGAGUGGUGCUAUGGUUCAGGUACCAUACACCGAAGCAUGUUGAGGAGGGAUGUCAUGGGAUGAGUACCAUGGUUCGUAGUGGAUGAUGCUUGUGGCUAUCUUGUUAUCCGGUUAUCGAUCGGACGAGCACGAGCGAGCGGGAUGCGAGGAUUCGCGAGAUCCUGCGUGAUGAGGUUGCUGCAUUGUUGCGGGCUGAGUCGCCAGAAUUGUUUGGGUCGAUCAGGACCACUAUGAUUGAAGUAGUUUGAUGAGCGAUAUGCGGCUUUCGCAGAGACGGCUGCCGCGGCGGUUACAGCGGCUGUAGCAACGGCAAAGAAAGGGGCUAGUCGGGGUUUUCAGUAUCGGGACUUCUAUUAUGCGAAGCCUCCCACAUUCGAUGGAGUUCAGGACUCGAUUGUUGCUAUGAGAUGGUUAUCAGACAUGGAGGGGUGUUUCUCCACGAGUUUAUGCCCUGCUGAUCAGAGGGUGGGGUGUGCUCUGAACCUGUUGAGGCUCGGGGCGAAGGAUUGGUGGAGAUUGACCACGAGGUCAUUUUCCGAUGCGCAGAGGGCUGCGGUUUCAUGGGAUCAAUUCAGAGGGAUGUUCAGUACUCGCUAUGUUCCGCGGGAUGAAAAGGAGAAAUUGGCUCGGAAGUUCCUUAAGCUGAAGCAGGAUUUGGAGUCGGUGACUGAGAGCACCGGGAUGUUUAUUGAGAGGGCGAUGUUUUGCCCUGAGUUCGCUUCGGAGCAGGCUCAGAUGUCCCGAUAUCCGAGUAUGCUCAAGGGGGGGUAUCAGACAGUUCGUGUCUGCGCAGAGGCGCGAGACCGUGUUGGUAUCGCAGGAGGCCGCCAUGUGGCGUGAGUUAGAGGUUGAGUUGCAGUUGCGUGAGAUGAGGCAGGCCCCGAUGCAGUCGCAGUCGGCGCCGAAACGGUCCAUGACCGUAGACGUUAGAAUGGGGGAUCGGAGCGGUCACACUUGUGGGAAGUGUGAGAGAGAUGGCACCGGAGCUUGUUGGCCCAGUGGUGCAUGCCGCAAGUGCGGAAAGGAGGGGCAUGGUGCACGGGAUUGUCGGCAGUCAGUGCCAAUUCGGGAUUUCAGGAUUUGUUAUCAGUGUCGGCAGGUUGGACAUUUGAGGGUCAACCGUCCACAGUUUCCUGCAGGACCGGUGCAGGCUCUAGCAUCGGCCACCUUGAGGAGUUCAGGAGGAGGACAGGAUGGAGCAGAGCCCAAGGGCUCAGGGUCGUGCUUAUCGGCUUGCGGCAGAGGGAGACGGAGCAGUGCCGGAGGCAGCUGCGGGUAUGAUGCUCUCUUGAUGUCUUGAGUAGCUUGCGUUGAUUGUGGCGUAUUGUUUGUGCUGGUGUCUGGUGUGGAUUUCGAUGCGGUAUUCGUUGUUUCGCGGGUUUGGCAUGGUUAUGGAUUGGUGCUUCAGGUUUUCGCUUGGCAUUCGUUGUUCCCUGAUGGUUUAGUAUGAUUAUAGUUUGGUGUUUUGGUACCGGUAGCCUUGUGCGGUUUUCGAUGCGAUAUUCAACCUUUGGCAGGUUGUGGGUUUGGUUAUGGGUUAUUGCUUGGGAAUUCCGUUGGUCAUCGUUCGUGAGGGUUGAUAGUGGAGAUGCGGCACUGGGUUGAAUGACGGGUAGCAUCUGCAGUUGUGGAGUGGAUAAUUGAAAGAUCGGAUUCUUUUGAGCGGAUUGAUCAGGGAGGAGAUGUGUUUUGCUGAGGGUUGCUUACGCUUGUGGGAAGCAGUCAGUGGGUAAAUGUUCUCUUUGUGCAGGAUGGUUCUGAAAGGUCGUUAAUGACGAUCGGUGGCAGUUAGUCAGUGCUUUAGUGGGGGAGAAUUGUAAAAUUCUCCGGGAGAUCGAUGAGUAUGUAAGGGUGCUUAGCUGUUGGGAUUCAGCAGUGUUUGUCAGCGCAAAGUAUAGGCCGACGAGAGCGAGUGUUGGGUAUGCGGGGCGAGAUACAGACCUAGGGCAUUUGAUUGUGGAGGCCUGAGAGGAGGUCGGGAUCAAGCUUGAGUAAGUAAUCGGAAUUUUGCGAUCAGAGUAUUGGUACGUUUGAGGUACGUGAUGGGUUGUACUGCAUUAAUCCCACGGGAUUAUGUUGUGCAUGUUUCUAGAGCUGGAACCGGAAGGUUCCCAGAGUUAGAACCUGAGGGUUCGCAGAGUUUGGGUGUACGGACCCACAGAGAUAUAGCCUCGAGUGGCUAGUAUGUGUUAUGAGAGUCGGUCCAGUCAUACUGGAGACUCUGUUGGUAUUGCUGGAUUAGUUUGAGAUUUGCGGAUCGCGUAUGUUGCAGUGUGAUUGCAUUGGAAGGUCUGGCCCCGGGUUAUUGAUCUUGUUUAGCGGAGGCAGUGAUUUUGAUGAGUGGAGAGAGUGCAUGGGAUUGAGAGCCCCUGCAAUGAGAACCAGAGUAUGUGAAUAGCAGUUACGCAAAAAGGGUGGUGUCGCUUGGGGCGAGCACCGUGGCACCGGUUGGAGUGGCAUUAUGUUCAAGAGAGUUCCGUGGAAAAGGAAAAGAGGAGGGUAUGUAACUCCGAAGGGGGUGCAAGUUCACGAAAGUGAAAGCUGCAGAGCAGAGUUAUGGUUAGAGUAUUUCGAGUAUGGUUUUGAGCAUCGUGUUCGCGGCAGUGGAGUAGGAACCCAUCCGGUUGGGAUGUCUGUUGAGGCUCAGAAGGGAUGCAUGGAGAGAGAAAAUUUUAAAUUCUCAGUGUGAAUCUGAUCAGAGUGUAGGGUGGAUGUAGUGGUUCAUCUUGGGAGAUGUUCGAGGAUAUCAUCAGUGUAUCGGGUCUUUCCACCUGCGGGUGUUGGGACUAGUUCAGUAUGUGUAUGUGAUGGCAAGAGGGAACUUGUGAGAGUUGAUCUGAGAGGGAGAACGGAUCUCUCAGUCGGUCCGGAAUGGGCAAAGUGGGCUUUGGAUCGGGGAUCCGGUGGUUCAGGGUUUCCUAACCCUUAUGGGUUGAGUGAUCGUUGAGAUUUGGAGCAGAGUGCAUCUUGGGUAAUUUCCGAUUACAGAGAGUGAUGAGCAGUUCAGAGUUCGUACUUUAGUUGACAAAGCAGACUCAGCAGGUUAAAGAGAGUUAGUGAUCGUCUAGAGUUAACAGGAAAGUUAUGCAGGCAGACGCCGUUACGAGCAUGUGAUUCAGGUCAGCGACUUCGUAUUUCUGACGGGGUGCUUCGAUUUAGGAAGAGGGGUAAAUGGGGGGCCCCGGUAUGUUGGGUCUUUUCGUGAAGGUGCGAAGGUAGGAAGGGUGGCCUAUCGUUUGGAGCUGUCAACGGAAUUGGGACGGAUCCAUGACACUGGUAUGUGUCGCAGUUGAAGAGGUGUAUAGCGGAUGAGUCAGCAGUGGUUCUACUAGAGAACGAUUAGGUGGAUGCGAGCCUGUGUUACGUCGAGAGGCCAGUGGCCGUCGGAGAUCGGAAGAUCAAGGUUCUGAGGAACAAGGAGGUACCUCUGGUAUUGGUUCAGUAGCGGCCUCGGGAGAGAUCGGUAGUGUCUAGGGAAGCCGAAACGUGAGAUGCGGGAGCAGCAGCCAGAGCUAUUUUCAGAGUGAGACUUCGAGGGCGAAGUCUAAUUCUAGUGGGGGAGAAUUGUAACAGCCCAAAAUCUCAAGUAUUGUUAAGUUGCAUUUUGGGGGUGUUUUAAAGGGGAGACUCGACGAGUUGGAGCCAGACUCGCCGAGUAGGGUCGCAGGUUUGGUCGCGGGUUCACGACUGGACUCGACGAGUCCAGAUAUGGACUCGGCGAGUCGACGCUGUUCAGCGGAAACCCUAGCCGUUCAGUAUUGGGUCGUAUAUAAGGGUUAUUAUGCCGUCAUUUCACGACUUUGGAUCGAUUGGGAAGAACCCUAGGCGACUGGGGCGGCUAGAGCAAGCUUGAAGGCCAUUGGUGACCUUGAAGGAAUUGUUGUGCAAGGAGGAGAAGGGUUUUAGCUAAAGGAACUGCAGGGAGUUCGAGUUCUGAAGUUUGGGGACAUGGAAGGUACAUCAUUCAGGUAAUAAUUCGGAUUACAUUCUCCUGUGAUUGAUGUGUAUAUAGAUUUAGGGUUUAUGGAACCCAUUUGGAGUCUAGAUGGAUUGUUGUGUUGUUAUU
RNAcentral lists this long non-coding RNA (6709 nucleotides) under Lactuca sativa (garden lettuce). RNAcentral's name for it is "long non-coding RNA (LSAT_LNC004199)". Lineage: Eukaryota; Viridiplantae; Streptophyta; Magnoliopsida; Asterales; Asteraceae. The record is from RNAcentral.